Molecule: long non-coding RNA, 1231 nt
Organism: Piliocolobus tephrosceles (Ugandan red Colobus)
Lineage: Eukaryota; Metazoa; Chordata; Mammalia; Primates; Cercopithecidae
Exons: 4
Source: RefSeq, a predicted model, not a curated record
GUUUUCUGGUGAUGAAACGAUAAAGGAAACAGCUAAAUUCUGUAGGGAAAUAGGAAGGCUGUCUAUGUAAGCAUAUACAAUACUGGACUAAGAACAUGGUCUCAGAAGUUAGACUUUCUGGUUUUCAGAUUCCAGGUUCAUCUGUUAUUACCUGUGAAAUAUUAAACAAAUUAAAUUCUUUUGCCUCAAUUCUUUUUAAUUGUAAAGUGGGGAUAAUAACACCUAGUCAUGAGACUGUUGAGAGGAUUAAAUGAAACAGUUUACAUAAAGACUUUAUAUAGUUCCCGCCCCCCAAAUAAAUAUCAGUUGCUUUUAUUAAGCAGAAUUAAAGGGUUUCUUAUUAUCACUUGUCUCUUAAUCAAAUAAACUGACAAAUAGUUUUUCAUAGAUAUUUAUUAUCUCAUAACUACAUUGAGCAACGAACUUUGUGCCUAUGCCAAGAAAGUUUGAGCUUUCUUAUCUUUCUGCCCUGCUGUUGCAUCAUUCCUUUUAACAGUUGCCAGAUGUUAAUUUAGUGUUUAUUCACUUUUUGUUGCAGUGGAAGCCAACAGAAGAGGGGUCCAUGUGUACAGAUAGGGCUGGAGUGAGUGAUCCACGUUCCAACAGCAGGCCCUUUAACCUCACUUGAAUAUGGAGGCUGCAUAGGUCACAAGUCUGAAGACUACAAGCUACCUUUGCUUAAAAGGAACCACACCAUCACUGAUAGCUAACUGCUAGAUCGUUCUCCAGCAUAUCAGGGCUACAUUGAAUUGCUUGAGUUGCGCUUCAGUUAACGUAGAGAACUUCACCGAACCACACAUAACCAUUGAAGUAACCUGCUGUUUACAGUCUCUUAUCAUGCUCUGCCAAGGGAGUUAUCUUACAGUGACAAAACUUCUCUUUGGUGCCCUGUCACAUCCUAGGACUUUGAUGUUGGUAAUUCUUUCCCCCCAGCAAAUGUUGGUUAUAAAUCCACAGAACUACUUGAGAAACCAGAUGCAAAAUUAUGUUCUUGAAGCUGGGAAGUCCAAGAGCAAGGUCUGGCAGCAGUGUCAGGUAAGAUUGGAGAGGGGAGGAUACCAGUUCCUGAAAGGAGAGGAGUUUUAAAGAGAAACUUAAAACAUCUGGGUAGUCUCCCAGAGGAUGUGGAAGCCACAGAGUCAUCUAGAUUUACUUCCCAGUUUCCUCAUCCAUGUUAAAGGUAUACCCCCAGAUGGCCUGAAGUAACUGAAGAGUCACAAAAGAAGUGCAA